CACAUCCUGGAAUCUGCUCACUUCACCAUUCGUUGGUGAUUUUCAGUUGUACAUUUUUCAUCUACAUCUCAGUCCAGCCUUAGUCGCAUGUACAAAUGCAUUGCUAUUAGUUUUUUUUUCUUACUAAACACAGCGAUCUGCUCAAACAGAUUGGUCAGUACAGAAUAUAAAGACACAAGCUGGUCCCUAUCUGAUUCUUCAUACCAAUAGUGCAGAAAUAUCUGCAAAUAAAUAAUUACUAGGAAGAGCUACAGAAAUAGCUAUGUGAAAAGGCUAUGUGUAUUUACUGCUCCCUGUCAAUCCAGUAUACGUCAUGCAAAGAUUACCAUAUCAAAUAACCUGAUUACAUGGCCUUACUGGAACAGAACAGGUUGUAGUAAUGCAAAUAUGAACUAACUUUUUCAUGAUUUAGACUAUUCUAUAUAAUUUAACAUACUAUGAUUGCUUUACCACUACAAUAUAUCUCCUGCACAGGUUCAAAACAAAUAUAUCUCCUGCAGAUGAGCUCUUGAUUAUUCUGCCAAUUCAGAGUAUGUGUAUAGAUGAUUGAAUGCGCUCACUGGUAUGAAACCAUGUAGCUAAAUCUGGUACAUAUCUUUGCAUCCUAAACUUGAGAGUUCCUAUUGGCUUAAGUGAAUACAUGCAUCCUAAACUGAUACUUGCUUGACUGUGUUAACACGUGCAUCUACUGAUCUAAAUCCUGACUGGCAUGACUAAACACAUGCAGUUCCUCCAGAUUUAGACUUGAGGUAGCCAUUUUUUCUGAUUCUUCAUCUAUUAGUUCCUUUCGUAAUAGAGUCCUUCAUGUUUUUCCUUCAGAUCUAAUUGCUGCAACUUUGCUGGCACAUAACCAUUUGAUGGAUUCAAAAAGAUGCAUGAGUACUUUUUAAUUUUAUUUUUAGGGUCCUACAGUGCUGGCAUGCACAUCAAGUAUUUUUCAAAAUGGAAAACUUCGAAAUGUACACAACUUUCUGUUAGAGGUAGAUACUGUAACAAUUCAACCAAGUGUGCAGAGUCAAAUUUAAUUGAUUGCUUGAGGAAUUAAGGUAUUGGCUAAGCAAUUUUAAAAGGUUUAUCGGUGAGCGGAGGUCUCUCUCACACGGAAACGUCUCCCUGUUCGAACUAUCAGUUGGUAAUUGGAAACAAAAACUCAAAAUGGGAAACAUAAUGGAAGGACACAUACCGGGCAACCGUAUAGAUCAGUUCAAGGACCCUCUAAAAGAAGGUUAUAUACCAUAGAGAGCUUCAUCUUUGCAGAUGCACGCAAGAAAUACAGGACAGCAGAUCAACAAUAUAGAUUCAAAUUUACUCAGCGCACA
This is a long non-coding RNA of Lolium rigidum, 1319 nucleotides long. RefSeq lists it as uncharacterized. The record is from RefSeq and is a predicted model, not a curated record. NCBI's taxonomy places the organism in Eukaryota, Viridiplantae, Streptophyta, Magnoliopsida, Poales, Poaceae. The transcript has 3 exons.